This 274-nucleotide ribosomal RNA is filed under the name uncultured bacterium. RNAcentral's name for it is "partial 16S ribosomal RNA". It matches the Rfam family "Bacterial small subunit ribosomal RNA", at positions 523 to 796 of the family's 1533-position model. The record is from RNAcentral.
AGACGGGGGGGGCGAGCGUUGUUCGGAAUUACUGGGCGUAAAGGGCGCGCAGGCGGCUUGGGAAGUCUUGGGUGAAAGCCCCCAGCUCAACUGGGGAAUGGCCUGAGAAACCACUAGGCUGGAGUGCUGGAGAGGGAAGCGGAAUUCCCGGUGGAGCGGUGAAAUGCGUAGAUAUCAGGAGGAACACCAGAGGCGAAGGCGGCUUCCUGGACAGACACUGACGCUGAGGCGCGAAAGCUAGGGGAGCAAACGGGAUUAGAUACCCCAGUAGUCC